Molecule: unclassified non-coding RNA, 1475 nt
Filed under: uncultured fungus
Lineage: Eukaryota; Fungi
Description: sequence contains 18S rRNA gene, ITS1, 5.8S rRNA gene, ITS2, 28S rRNA gene
Source: RNAcentral
CGCUCUCGAGACCCGACUUCUCGACCUUCGCGAAAGCGCCGUUUCCGUCGUUGUGAAAAAGGAAAUUCGCCUCGCCGGCGUUGCCGAUGACGAGGUCCGGAAAGCCGUCGUUGUCGAGGUCGGCCCACAUCGCGGUGACCCCCCAUCCGCAGGCCACGAUGCCCGAGCUCUUCGUCACGUCCUCGAACGUGCCGUCGCCGCGGUUGCGGAAGAGGCGCGUGCACUCGGCGAGGGGCUGCGUGCGUCCCGCCUUCCGCCACUUCGAGGCGCUCUUGACCUGCUGGACGAGGACGAGGUCGAGGUUCCCGUCCCCGUCGAAGUCCGCGAGAGCCGCGCCGCCGCCCAUCGUGGGAAUGAGCUUGGCGUCGAUGAUGUCGCCGUGAAAGCGGAACCGGACGCCGGAUGCCCGGGUGACGUCCGUGAAGAGGGAGCCCGUGACGUUCUUCCUCCGGGAGCUCUCCUCGUGGAGGAGAAGGCUGCACGCCAGGACGCUGGCCGCCGCGGAGAGGACGACCGCGAGAGCGAGAAAACGACGCACGAAAGACGAGUAUAGGGGGCGGGAUCACCUGGGUGAGAAUGGAGCCGGCAGAUCGAUCAGGAGGGCGCACAUGGGUGAGAAAGUCUCCUUCACCGUCAACGGCCUGAAAGGCGAGGGGUGGUUCGCGAGGCCCGAGUCGGGCAAGGGACCGGCCGUCGUGGUGAUCCAGGAGUGGUGGGGUCUCGUGCCGCACAUCAAGGACGUGACGGAGCGCUUCGCGAAGGAGGGGUUCGUCGCGCUCGCGCCCGACCUGUACCACGGGAAGACGACGACGUCACCGGACGAGGGGGGGCGCCUCAUGAUGGAAAUGGACGCGGAGCGCGCGGGCAAGGAGAUCGCGGCGGCCGGCGCGUAUCUCCUGAACCGGCCGGAGUGUUCGUCGAAGAGCUUCGGCGUCGUAGGCUUCUGCAUGGGUGGCGCGCUCGCACAGUACGCGGCCACGUCCAUUCGGAGCGUGGGCGCCGCGGUGAGCUUCUACGGCGGCUUCAAGAAAGUGCCCAUCCGGUGGGAGAACCUCUCCGGCCCGAUCCUCCUGAUCUACGGCGAGAUGGACGAGGGCGUCCCCGCAUCCGAGGCGAAGCCGCUCGAGGACAAGCUCAAGGCGCUCGGGAAAAAAGCGGAGACGAUCGUUUUCCGGGGCGCGCCGCACGCCUUCUUCAACGACGCGCGCCCGGGUGUCUACCGGGAAGAGUGCGCGAAGGACGCCUGGCAGAGAACCCUCGACCAUUUCCGCGCUCACUUGGUCUAGGAGCGGCGGGCAGGAGCCGCCAGCUUUCCUAGAAUUGCCCAAUGGCGACCGAGACGCACCGGACCGUCUGCAAUCGGGACUGCCCCGACGCGUGCGGCCUCAUCGCCACGGUCGAGGACGGAAAGCUCGUGAAGCUGGGCGGCGAUCCGGAGCAUCCGGUCACGCAGGGUUUCAUCUGCACCCGCACGU